RNAcentral lists this ribosomal RNA (286 nucleotides) under uncultured bacterium. RNAcentral describes it as "partial 16S ribosomal RNA". It matches the Rfam family "Bacterial small subunit ribosomal RNA", at positions 338 to 616 of the family's 1533-position model. The record is from RNAcentral.
CCUACGGGGGGCAGCAGUAGGGAAUCUUCGGCAAUGGGCGAAAGCCUGACCGAGCAACGCCGCGUGAAUGAAGAAGGCCUUCGGGUUGUAAAAUUCUGUUAUAAGGGAAGAACGGUGAUAGGAGGAAAUGACUAUCAAUUGCCGGUACCUUAUGAGACAGCCCCGGCUAACUACGUGCCAGCCGCCGCGGUAAUCCGUAGGUGGCAAGCGUUAUCCGGACUUAUUUGGCGUAAAGAGCGCGCAGGUGGUUCAUUCAGUCUGAUGUGCAAGCCCCCGGCUUCACCGU